RNAcentral lists this ribosomal RNA (450 nucleotides) under uncultured bacterium. RNAcentral describes it as "partial 16S ribosomal RNA". It matches the Rfam family "Bacterial small subunit ribosomal RNA", at positions 354 to 796 of the family's 1533-position model. The record is from RNAcentral.
GUGAGGAAUUUUCCGCAAUGGGCGAAAGCCUGAUCCAGCCAUGCCGCGUGUGUGAAGAAGGUCUUCGGAUUGUAAAGCACUUUAAGUUGGGAGGAAGGGUAGUAACCUAAUACGUUGCUACUUUGACGUUACCGACAGAAUAAGCACCGGCUAACUUCGUGCCAGCAGCCGCGGUAAUACGAAGGGUGCAAGCGUUAAUCGGAAUUACUGGGCGUAAAGCGCGCGUAGGUGGUUCAGUAAGUUGGAAGUGAAAUCCCCGGGCUCAACCUGGGAACUGCUUUAAAAACUGCUGAGCUAGAGUACGGUAGAGUGUGAUGGAAUUUCCUGUGUAGCGGUAAGAUGCGUAGAUAUAGGAAAGAACACCAGUGGCGAAGGCGAGCACCUGGACUGAUACUGACACUGAGGUGCGAAAGCGUGGGGAGCAAACAGGAUUAGAAACCCGAGUAGUCC